This 544-nucleotide ribosomal RNA is filed under the name Proteus mirabilis. Its description in RNAcentral is "partial 23S ribosomal RNA". It matches the Rfam family "Bacterial large subunit ribosomal RNA", at positions 2255 to 2798 of the family's 2925-position model. Lineage: Bacteria; Pseudomonadati; Pseudomonadota; Gammaproteobacteria; Enterobacterales; Morganellaceae. The record is from RNAcentral.
UGUCUGGUGGGUAGUUUGACUGGGGCGGUCUCCUCCUAAAGAGUAACGGAGGAGCACGAAGGUUGGCUAAGCAUGGUCGGACAUCAUGCGGUUAGUGCAAAGGCAUAAGCCAGCUUGACUGCGAGAGUGACGGCUCGAGCAGGUACGAAAGUAGGUCUUAGUGAUCCGGUGGUUCUGAAUGGAAGGGCCAUCGCUCAACGGAUAAAAGGUACUCCGGGGAUAACAGGCUGAUACCGCCCAAGAGUUCAUAUCGACGGCGGUGUUUGGCACCUCGAUGUCGGCUCAUCACAUCCUGGGGCUGAAGUAGGUCCCAAGGGUAUGGCUGUUCGCCAUUUAAAGUGGUACGCGAGCUGGGUUUAGAACGUCGUGAGACAGUUCGGUCCCUAUCUGCCGUGGGCGUUGGAAGAUUGAGAGGGGUUGCUCCUAGUACGAGAGGACCGGAGUGAACGCACCACUGGUGUUCGGGUUGUCAUGCCAAUGGCAUUGCCCGGUAGCUAAGUGCGGAAGAGAUAACCGCUGAAAGCAUCUAAGCGGGAAACUUGCC